RNAcentral lists this ribosomal RNA (253 nucleotides) under uncultured bacterium. RNAcentral's name for it is "partial 16S ribosomal RNA". It matches the Rfam family "Bacterial small subunit ribosomal RNA", at positions 524 to 776 of the family's 1533-position model. The record is from RNAcentral.
UACGUAGGUGGCGAACGUUGUCCGGAUUUACUGGGCGCAAAGCGCGCGCAGGCGGACCGAUAAGUCAGAGGUGAAAUCUCCCGGCUCAACUGGGAGGGGCCCUUUGAUACUGUCGGUCUUGAGAUGCCUAGAGGAGAGUGGAAUUCCCGGUGUAGUGGUGGAAUGCGUAGAUAUCGGGAGGAACACCAGUGGCGAAGGCGGGUCUCUGGGCCGAUACUGACGCUGAGGAGCGAAAGUGUGGGGAGCGAACAGG